Salmo salar (Atlantic salmon) is the source of this 90-nucleotide non-coding RNA. Lineage: Eukaryota; Metazoa; Chordata; Actinopteri; Salmoniformes; Salmonidae. The record is from Rfam.
AUCUGCCGCUGUGUCCUAUGGCUUUUUAUUCCUAUGUGAUGACAGAAUGGGCUCAUGUAGGGAUAGAAGCCACUUAACACACGGCGAGAG